This 364-nucleotide unclassified non-coding RNA is filed under the name uncultured bacterium. Its description in RNAcentral is "contains 16S-23S intergenic spacer region". The record is from RNAcentral.
UCCCGGUUGGCCCGGGCAGUCUCGCAUGAAAAAUCCAACAUACGAUAAGGGUUGCGCUCGUUGCGGGACUUAACCCAACAUUUCACAACACGAGCUGACGACGGCCAUGCAGCACCUGUCAUCUGGCUCCCGAAGGCACUCCACUGUUUCCAGCGGAUUCCAGAGAUGUCAAGCCUCGGUAAGGUUUUACGCGUACCGUCAUAUUAAACCACAUCCUCCUCUGCUUGUGCGGGUCCCCGUCAAUUCCUUUGAGUUUUAGCCUUGCGGCCGUACUUCCCAGGCGGCAUACUUAUCGCGUUAGCUUCGUCGCACAAGGGGUCGAUACCCCAUACGACUAGUAUGCAUCGUUUACGGCGUGGACUAC